RNAcentral lists this ribosomal RNA (586 nucleotides) under Vibrio alginolyticus. Its description in RNAcentral is "partial 23S ribosomal RNA". It matches the Rfam family "Bacterial large subunit ribosomal RNA", at positions 607 to 1196 of the family's 2925-position model. The record is from RNAcentral. Lineage: Bacteria; Pseudomonadati; Pseudomonadota; Gammaproteobacteria; Vibrionales; Vibrionaceae. RNAcentral also lists the same sequence under 2 other names.
UUUGUAUAAUGGGUCAGCGACUUAUAUUCAGUGGCAAGGUUAACCAUCUAGGGGAGCCGUAGGGAAACCGAGUCUUAACUGGGCGUUCAGUCUCUGGAUAUAGACCCGAAACCAGGUGAUCUAGCCAUGGGCAGGUUGAAGGUUGAGUAACAUCAACUGGAGGACCGAACCGACUAAUGUUGAAAAAUUAGCGGAUGACUUGUGGCUAGGGGUGAAAGGCCAAUCAAACCUGGAGAUAGCUGGUUCUCCCCGAAAGCUAUUUAGGUAGCGCCUCGGACGAAUACUACUGGGGGUAGAGCACUGUUAAGGCUAGGGGGUCAUCCCGACUUACCAACCCUUUGCAAACUCCGAAUACCAGUAAGUACUAUCCGGGAGACACACGGCGGGUGCUAACGUCCGUCGUGGAGAGGGAAACAACCCAGACCGCCAGCUAAGGUCCCAAAUUACUACUAAGUGGGAAACGAUGUGGGAAGGCUCAGACAGCCAGGAUGUUGGCUUAGAAGCAGCCAUCAUUUAAAGAAAGCGUAAUAGCUCACUGGUCGAGUCGGCCUGCGCGGAAGAUGUAACGGGGCUAAGUAGUAAACCG